CCUACGGGUGGCAGCAGUGAGGAAUAUUGGUCAAUGGGCGCGAGCCUGAACCAGCCAAGUCGCGUGAGGGAAGACGGUCCUAUGGAUUGUAAACCUCUUUUGUCGGGGAGCAAAAGACGCCACGCGUGGCGUUCCGAGCGUACCCGAAGAAAAAGCAUCGGCUAACUCCGUGCCAGCAGCCUCGGUAAUACGGAGGAUGCGAACGUGAUCCGGAUUUAUUGGGUUUAAAGGGGGCGCAGGCGGAAGAUCAAGUCAGCGGUAAAAUUGAGAGGCUCAACCUCUUCGAGCCGUUGAAACUGGUUGUCUUGAGUGAGUGAGAAGUAUGCGGAAUGCGUGGUGUAGCGGUGAAAUGCAUAGAUAUCACGCAGAACUCCGAGUGCGAAGGCAGCAUACCGGCGCUCAACUGACGCUCAUGCACGAAAGUGUGGGUAUCGAACAGGAUUAGAUACCCCUGUAGUC
RNAcentral lists this ribosomal RNA (459 nucleotides) under uncultured bacterium. RNAcentral describes it as "partial 16S ribosomal RNA". It matches the Rfam family "Bacterial small subunit ribosomal RNA", at positions 338 to 795 of the family's 1533-position model. The record is from RNAcentral.